RNAcentral lists this ribosomal RNA (459 nucleotides) under uncultured bacterium. Its description in RNAcentral is "bacterial SSU rRNA". It matches the Rfam family "Bacterial small subunit ribosomal RNA", at positions 29 to 531 of the family's 1533-position model. The record is from RNAcentral.
AAUGAACGCUGGCGGCAGGCCUAACACAUGCAAGUCGAACGGGUCCUUCGGGACUAGUGGCGGACGGGUGAGUAACGCGUGGGAACAUACCCAAAGGUACGGAAUAGUCUCGGGAAACUGGGGGUAAUACCGUAUGUGCCCUUCGGGGGAAAGAUUUAUCGCCUUUGGAUUGGCCCGCGUUGGAUUAGGUAGUUGGUGGGGUAAUGGCCUACCAAGCCGACGAUCCAUAGCUGGUUUGAGAGGAUGAUCAGCCACACUGGGACUGAGACACGGCCCAGACUCCUACGGGAGGCAGCAGUGGGGAAUCUUAGACAAUGGGGGAAACCCUGAUCUAGCCAUGCCGCGUGAUCGAUGAAGGCCUUAGGGUUGUAAAGAUCUUUCAGAUGGGAAGAUAAUGACGGUACCAUCAGAAGAAGCCCCGGCUAACUCCGUGCCAGCAGCCGCGGUAAUGUCUGUACU